Long non-coding RNA from Thamnophis elegans (Western terrestrial garter snake), 945 nucleotides. RefSeq lists it as uncharacterized. The record is from RefSeq and is a predicted model, not a curated record. The transcript is spliced from 3 exons. Lineage: Eukaryota; Metazoa; Chordata; Lepidosauria; Squamata; Natricidae.
UGUCUGUUGAUGGCCAAUUUGUCUGAGCACAGCUUUGUGGUCUUCUGGCUCCUUUGAUCGGGAGGGGAGGCAGGGGGGGUUGGGAUAUUGACCCCCUCUGACUCCCCCGCUCAGCCCCAAAGCUCUUCCUGACCCUUCCCUCCUGCCACCUGGCCUCUGUCUCGUAGGUCUGCUACGCCAAGAACCUCGACUGCUUCUACCUGGAACUGCUGGUCAUCCAGGAGGAACAGGAGGAGCCCUCCGAGACCCUCUCCCGGCUCAUCCGGCGCCUGAAGCAGCUGAGAAAGAAGCUGCAGAGGACCGGCCAAGCCAGCCAUUGUGCCGCCUACCCACCGUGCCACGCUCACCCGGAAAAGCCAGCCGCAGCUUUCCUAAGGAGGCUCCUGGAGAUGUUUCAGUGGAGAUGCAGUACGAAAGACUUCGACCCACGUCCGGGGCCCCCAAGCACCACCCGCAUCCCCCGGGCCUCCUCUUCUCCUCCCACCUCUGCAGUGACGGACCGCCAGGUCUAGCUGAAGUUAAAAAACGAUCCGGUGCCACCCUGGGAGGCUGCCUGCAACCUGCAGGGAGGAGGGCUCCUUCCAGGCCGGUGAGCUGAUCAGGCGCGACGGACGGAGAGAUCUUGGACCUGUUGAUGACCAUCCAGCAUCUUCUGUGCCUCUUGGUGGGAGAAGGAAGACGGCGGUGAGCUCCCAGGGCUUGGAAAUAAACAGCCGAGUUUCCCAGCCUUUGCAGGGAAAUUGAAGAGUGGCGUCUUCUCCCAGCAAUCCCAAGCAGGUGGAAGGAGACUUAGAAGAACAGAGGAUAAAAAUGAAUGAUUUGUGACUUGGUCAGCUCUCUGCCAAUUCCCAAGGGCGAUCCUUCAAUGGCUGCUGGGGGGAAAAAAUUGUUUGUGUCUUUCUUUUGUUGCAAAUGUUGUCAUGGGACUUCAGUCCGACAAACCAG